RNAcentral lists this ribosomal RNA (489 nucleotides) under Streptococcus anginosus. Its description in RNAcentral is "bacterial SSU rRNA". It matches the Rfam family "Bacterial small subunit ribosomal RNA", at positions 28 to 493 of the family's 1533-position model. The record is from RNAcentral. Lineage: Bacteria; Bacillati; Bacillota; Bacilli; Lactobacillales; Streptococcaceae.
GACGAACGCUGGCGGCGUGCCUAAUACAUGCAAGUAGGACGCACAGUUUAUACCGUAGCUUGCUACACCAUAGACUGUGAGUUGCGAACGGGUGAGUAACGCGUAGGUAACCUGCCUAUUAGAGGGGGAUAACUAUUGGAAACGAUAGCUAAUACCGCAUAACAGUAUGUAACACAUGUUAGAUGCUUGAAAGAUGCAAUUGCAUCGCUAGUAGAUGGACCUGCGUUGUAUUAGCUAGUAGGUAGGGUAAUGGCCUACCUAGGCGACGAUACAUAGCCGACCUGAGAGGGUGAUCGGCCACACUGGGACUGAGACACGGCCCAGACUCCUACGGGAGGCAGCAGUAGGGAAUCUUCGGCAAUGGGGGGAACCCUGACCGAGCAACGCCGCGUGAGUGAAGAAGGUUUUCGGAUCGUAAAGCUCUGUUGUUAAGGAAGAACGAGUGUGAGAAUGGAAAGUUCAUACUGUGACGGACUAACCAGAAAGGAC